UUAACAAACUCUGCAUAAGCUCCGGGGUGGCGAGCUCCUAUCACAGUAAGUUUUUCGCAUUGCGAUAAAUUCCCUUUUAAACAGCUAUGGCAAGUCCCACAGUAAAAGGUAGGGCA
Non-coding RNA from Halobacillus mangrovi, 116 nucleotides. NCBI's taxonomy places the organism in Bacteria, Bacillati, Bacillota, Bacilli, Caryophanales, Bacillaceae. The record is from Rfam.